RNAcentral lists this ribosomal RNA (1087 nucleotides) under uncultured Vibrionaceae bacterium. RNAcentral's name for it is "bacterial SSU rRNA". It matches the Rfam family "Bacterial small subunit ribosomal RNA", at positions 38 to 1124 of the family's 1533-position model. Lineage: Bacteria; Pseudomonadati; Pseudomonadota; Gammaproteobacteria; Vibrionales; Vibrionaceae. The record is from RNAcentral.
GGCGGCAGGCUACACAUGCAAGUCGACGCGGUAACAGAGAGAAGCUUGCUUCUUUGCUGACGAGCGGCGGACGGGUGAGUAAUGCCUGGGAAUAUGCCUUAGUGUGGGGGAUAACUAUUGGAAACGAUAGCUAAUACCGCAUAACGUCUUCGGACCAAAGAGGGGGACCUUCGGGCCUCUCGCGCUAAGAUUAGCCCAGGUGGGAUUAGCUAGUUGGUGGGGUAAAGGCUCACCAAGGCAACGAUCCCUAGCUGGUCUGAGAGGAUGAUCAGCCACACUGGAACUGAGACACGGUCCAGACUCCUACGGGAGGCAGCAGUGGGGAAUAUUGCACAAUGGGGGAAACCCUGAUGCAGCCAUGCCGCGUGUAUGAAGAAGGCCUUCGGGUUGUAAAGUACUUUCAGUCGUGAGGAAGGGUGUGUAGUUAAUAGCUGCGCAUUUUGACGUUAGCGACAGAAGAAGCACCGGCUAACUCCGUGCCAGCAGCCGCGGUAAUACGGAGGGUGCGAGCGUUAAUCGGAGUUACUGGGCGUAAAGCGCAUGCAGGUGGUUCAUUAAGUCAGAUGUGAAAGCCCGGGGCUCAACCUCGGAACUGCAUUUGAAACUGGUGAACUAGAGUACUGUAGAGGGGGGUAGAAUUUCAGGUGUAGCGGUGAAAUGCGUAGAGAUCUGAAGGAAUACCAGUGGCGAAGGCGGCCCCCUGGACAGAUACUGACACUCAGAUGCGAAAGCGUGGGGAGCAAACAGGAUUAGAUACCCUGGUAGUCCACGCCGUAAACGAUGUCUACUUGGAGGUUGUGGCCUUGAGCCGUGGCUUUCGGAGCUAACGCGUUAAGUAGACCGCCUGGGGAGUACGGUCGCAAGAUUAAAACUCAAAUGAAUUGACGGGGGCCCGCACAAGCGGUGGAGCAUGUGGUUUAAUUCGAUGCAACGCGAAAAACCUUACCUACUCUUGACAUCCAAAAAACCAGCGGAAACCCAGGUGUCCUUCGGAACCCUGAAACAGUGCUGCAUGCUGUCGUCACUCCGUGUUGUGAAUGUUGGGUUAGUCCCGCACGACCCAACCUUAUCUGUUUGCACCGAUUAU